Molecule: ribosomal RNA, 253 nt
Filed under: uncultured bacterium
Lineage: Bacteria
Description: partial 16S ribosomal RNA
Rfam family: Bacterial small subunit ribosomal RNA
Source: RNAcentral
UAUGUAGGUGGCAAGCGUUGUCCGGAUUUAUUGGGUUUAAAGGGUGCGUAGGCGGGUUUGUAAGUCAGUGGUGAAAUAUGUCAGCUUAACUGAGAGGGUGCCAUUGAUACUGCAGAACUUGAGUACAGAUGAGGUAGGCGGAAUUGAAGGUGUAGCGGUGAAAUGCUUAGAUAUCGUCAAGAACACCUAUAGCGAAGGCAGCUUACUAGGCUGUAACUGACGCUGAGGUGGGAAAGCGUGGGGAGCAAACAGG